GACGUAGGGCGCGAGCGUUGUCCGGAUUUAUUGGGCGUAAAGAGCUCGUAGGCGGCUUGUUGCGUCGACUGUGAAAACCCGCGGCUCAACCGUGUGGUCUGCAGUCGAUACGGGCAGGCUGGAGUUCGGUAGGGGAGACUGGAAUUCCUGGUGUAGCGGUGAAAUGCGCAGAGAUCCGGAGGAACACCAGCGGCGAAGGCGGCAUCCUGGACUGGUCCUGACACUCAGGAGCGAAAGCGUGGGGAGCGAUCCGG
Molecule: ribosomal RNA, 254 nt
Filed under: uncultured bacterium
Lineage: Bacteria
Description: partial 16S ribosomal RNA
Rfam family: Bacterial small subunit ribosomal RNA
Source: RNAcentral